Arabidopsis thaliana (thale cress) is the source of this 342-nucleotide long non-coding RNA. RefSeq annotates it as other RNA. Lineage: Eukaryota; Viridiplantae; Streptophyta; Magnoliopsida; Brassicales; Brassicaceae. The transcript is spliced from 2 exons. The record is from RefSeq.
GAACUACACGGUCUGAAAUGGUUGAUUUUCUGGCUGUGCCAUAUACUAGAGGUCCCUAACAUGGCAGCAAUUCUAAUGAUCCCAAACACAAGGAGCGAGAGGCAAGCAUUCACCUCUCCUCCUGAGAGGUUGUGUGACCAUGUCAUGACUGCAACUCGAGCGAAUGUUUUCAAAUCACUUCAUGUGUAGAGAAAAUAUUGAAGAAAAGAUGUUAUGGUUCGUUCUACUUAAUUGUUUUGUUCUUUGUAAGAUAUUGGAUCACAUUUAAGGAACACAUUUUGGUCUGGGAUCUGUUUCUCUAACUUUUCCUAAAUACUCAAUGGACCUUGUGAGAGAUUGUUC